RNAcentral lists this small RNA (127 nucleotides) under Marmota monax (woodchuck). Lineage: Eukaryota; Metazoa; Chordata; Mammalia; Rodentia; Sciuridae. The record is from RNAcentral.
GCUGGGUGUGGUGGUGCAUGCCUGUAAUCCUAGUGGCUUGGGAGGCUGAGGCAGGAGAAUCACAAAUUCAAAACCAGCUUCAACAAUUUAGUGAAGCACCAAGCAACUCAGUGAGACCCUGUCUCUA